GGCUCAGGACGAACGCUGGCGGCGUGCUUAACACAUGCAAGUCGAACGGGGAUUAGUUGAUUGAGAGCUCGGCAGGAAAUCGAUUAAUUCGAGUGGCGGACGGGUGAGUAACGCGUGAGCAACCUGUCCCAGACAGGGGGAUAACACUUGGAAACAGGUGCUAAUACCGCAUAAGACCACGGGAUCACAUGGUUCCGGGGUAAAAGGAGCAAUCCGGUUUGGGGUGGGCUCGCGUCCGAUUAGCCAGUUGGCGGGGUAACGGCCCACCAAAGCGACGAUCGGUAGCCGACCUGAGAGGGUGAACGGCCACAUUGGAACUGAGAGACGGUCCAAACUCCUACGGGAGGCAGCAGUGGGGAAUAUUGGGCAAUGGGCGAAAGCCUGAACCCCAGCAACGCCGCGUGAGUGAAGAAGGCCUUCGGGUUGUAAAGCUCUGUUAUAGUUGACGAAGGAAGUGACGGUAGGCUAUAAGGAAGCCCCGGCUAACUACGUGCCAGCCGCAGC
RNAcentral lists this ribosomal RNA (504 nucleotides) under uncultured bacterium. RNAcentral describes it as "bacterial SSU rRNA". It matches the Rfam family "Bacterial small subunit ribosomal RNA", at positions 21 to 518 of the family's 1533-position model. The record is from RNAcentral.